RNAcentral lists this long non-coding RNA (1067 nucleotides) under Junco hyemalis (dark-eyed junco). Its description in RNAcentral is "lncRNA (ENSJHYG00000008153.1)". Lineage: Eukaryota; Metazoa; Chordata; Aves; Passeriformes; Passerellidae. The record is from RNAcentral.
GGGGCGGUGAGGGGAGCAGAGGACAGCGGCUGACCCAGGGUGGGGACAGCACAGCCCGGGGGGGCCUGGCAGCCACCUGCCUGCCGUGGUGCCCCCGGCUGGAGCAGCAUCCCCACGGGACGCUGAUGAACGGAGCUCCGGGCUCCGUUAUCCCUCGGUGGGACGGCCCGGGGGGCGGCGCAGGAAAGGAGGCCCCUGGGGAAGCAGCUUUGUUGCUUCCUCACGCUGGGUUGUGAUCCAGGCCAGCGUUCCCAGCUCCCGGCGUCACACCCUCUCCCAGCUGUUGCCUCGCCGAGCAUCGCGGGCGCUGCCAAGAAAACCUUUGGUGAUGGAUGCAGCUCCCGCCCCGCUGCCUUAAAAGCGGCGGGGAGCGGCACCGGGCCUGUGUCUGUCCCGGCACGCCGGGAUCCGCCUGGGAAUGGGAUCCGCUGGCACCCAGGGCACCCCCAGCUCGUCCUGCCCAGCCUGGAGCAGUGGGACAGCGUUGGCACCGCACGAGCUCAUGCCCUAGGCCGGUGUGGAGGGAGCUGCCGCUGUGCCCUGGGGCGCUGAAUUGUCACCUGUCCCCAUCCCGACAGAGAGGAGAGAGGUGAGAGUGUGCCUGGUGUCACUGGGGUGUGUGGGGAGCCUCCCUUCGGGUUUUCAGUCCAUAAAAAAAAAAUAGAGGAGCCAUAAUAUGUUGCAGAUUGGAAAGUCAGAGCUGUUGAUGAGCUGUUAAUGAGCAUUAUCCCGGUUUUCCCUCUGGAAGUAGGCGGGCAAUCAACGUUUUCUGCAGGAUGAGGCUGCAGCCACAUCCUGGUGGAGCUGAGGGGCUGAAUCACGUCCUGAUGUCUCACGGAUGGGGGUGGGAAUCAGGGAGGAGCUGCGGGAGCAUCUUGUUCGGGACCAGUGGGGUUCCAUGGGAUCUCCCAUUGCUGCGUUUGUCCCUUCUCUCCCUGUCCCCAAUUCCCACACGUGUUGGGGACCAUUGUCCCUCCUGCUCCCCUCACUGUGAUUAACACCGAGUGUUUGCCCAGCAGGGGCAGAUCCCUGGCUGCAGAUCCCAGCUCCCCAGGAUCACACGGAUC